AGAGUGAACGCUGGCGGUAGGCCUAACACAUGCAAGUCGAACGGCAGCACGGUAAGAGCUUGCUCUUAUGGGUGGCGAGUGGCGGACGGGUGAGGAAUACAUCGGAAUCUACCUUUUGGUGGGGGAUAACGUAGGGAAACUUACGCUAAUACCGCAUACGCCCUUCGGGGGAAAGCCGGGGACCAGCAAUGGCCUGGCGCUGAUAGAUGAGCCGAUGUCGGAUUAGCUAGUUGGUGAGGUAAUGGCUCACCAAGGCGACGAUCCGUAGCUGGUCUGAGAGGAUGAUCAGCCACACUGGAACUGACGACACGGUCCCAGACCGUCCGUAACGGGAGGCAGCGUAGGUAGGGGAAUAGUUGGACUAAGUGGGCGACAAGCCUGACUCCAGCCCUAGUACCGGACGUGGGUAGAAGG
Molecule: ribosomal RNA, 414 nt
Filed under: uncultured soil bacterium
Lineage: Bacteria
Description: bacterial SSU rRNA
Rfam family: Bacterial small subunit ribosomal RNA
Source: RNAcentral